GCAUGCAGGUGGUUCAUUAAGUCAGAUGUGAAAGCCCGGGGCGCAACCUCGGAACUGCAUUUGAAACUGGUGAACUAGAGUACUGUAGAGGGGGGUAGAAUUUCAGGUGUAGCGGUGAAAUGCGUAGAGAUCUGAAGGAAUACCAGUGGCGAAGGCGGCCCCCUGGACAGAUACUGACACUCAGAUGCGAAAGCGUGGGGAGCAAACAGGAUUAGAUACCCUGGUAGUCCACGCCGUAAACGAUGUCUACUUGGAGGUUGUGGCCUUGAGCCGUGGCUUUCGGAGCUAACGCGUUAAGUAGACCGCCUGGGGAGUACGGUCGCAAGAUUAAAACUCAAAUGAAUUGACGGGGGCCCGCACAAGCGGUGGAGCAUGUGGUUUAAUUCGAUGCAACGCGAAGAACCUUACCAAUCGAAUUCCCGCGGCCGCCAUGGCGGCCGGGAGCAUGCGACGUCGGGCCCAAUUCGCCCUAUAGUGAGUCGUAUUACAAUUCACUGG
RNAcentral lists this ribosomal RNA (498 nucleotides) under uncultured bacterium. Its description in RNAcentral is "bacterial SSU rRNA". It matches the Rfam family "Bacterial small subunit ribosomal RNA", at positions 567 to 1054 of the family's 1533-position model. The record is from RNAcentral.